AGUGAACGCUGGCGGUAGGCCUAACACAUGCAAGUCGAACGGCAGCACAGUAAGAGCUUGCUCUUACGGGUGGCGAGUGGCGGACGGGUGAGGAAUACAUCGGAAUCUACUUUUUCGUGGGGGAUAACGUAGGGAAACUUACGCUAAUACCGCAUACGACCUACGGGUGAAAGCAGGGGAUCUUCGGACCUUGCGCGAUUGAAUGAGCCGAUGUCGGAUUAGCUAGUUGGCGGGGUAAAGGCCCACCAAGGCGACGAUCCGUAGCUGGUCUGAGAGGAUGAUCAGCGACACUGGAACUGAGACACGGGCCAGACGCCUAAGGGAGGCAGCAGUGGGGAAUAUUGGACAAUGGGCGCAAGCCUGAUCCAGCCAUACCGCGUGGGUGAAGAAGGCCUUCGGGUUGUAAAGCCCUUUUGUUGGGAAAGAAAAGCAGCAGGUUAAUACCCCGCUGUUCUGACGGUACCCAAAGAAUAAGCACCGGCUAACUUCGUG
This 492-nucleotide ribosomal RNA is filed under the name uncultured bacterium. Its description in RNAcentral is "partial 16S ribosomal RNA". It matches the Rfam family "Bacterial small subunit ribosomal RNA", at positions 29 to 507 of the family's 1533-position model. The record is from RNAcentral.